AUGGUCCUGAAUCAAGGCUGGCUUCCUGACGCUGUUGGUUUCAAGGAGGAGCCUAAAGAGACGUCUUUCGAAGAUCUGUUGGCCAUUUCAUAACCUGGGCAGUGAAGUGGUCAAUUCAUUAGAAAGAAACAGCU
Cavia aperea (Brazilian guinea pig) is the source of this 134-nucleotide small nucleolar RNA. The record is from Ensembl. Lineage: Eukaryota; Metazoa; Chordata; Mammalia; Rodentia; Caviidae.